GGCAAUAACUGGGCGGUUUUAAUUCGAUGAAAGCCUCGAAGCGUUCUCUCACCAUCGGCGCGUGAGCGCGUGCGUUGCAAGGGCGCACUGUGCGUGGAACUCUCGGGAACUGCCAUUGUGCUGCAUGAUUGUAGGAGCCGCUCACUUCUUUGAAAUGUGCAGCACCAUGACUUCAUUUCUCAUCCUAAGUGGCGCAUUCGUGAUGACCACGGCGCAGAGGAAGAUCCGCUUCGAAAAUUGUACAGAGAAAGCUACUGAUUCGGAAGCCUCAUGAAGACCAAGCUAUAAUUCACGAUUGCAUGGGUGCAUAUAUAUAGUUGAAGCUCAGGGCGGUGAGUCCAUCCAGUCCUUCGUGGUCACCCCAUGCAGCAGUGACCCGUGCGUCGUACCUAUUGGGUCUGGCAUCAACAUCUCCUUCGAACUGAUCUCGAACCAGGACAGUGUCAACUUGCGCUUGGACCCUCGUGUGCAGUUGCUCACUAUCGAGCUGCCUAUCCCAGGUGUCGAGAGGGACGCCUGCAAGCUCACGAACACAGCAUGUCCAGUCUCAGAGGGCCAGCUUGUCCGUGGCACUGUGCCCGUGCACGUGUACAGCUUUUUGCCACCGAUGACAGUGGUGACAAUUUGGCGGGUGUACGGUGACAAGGGUCUCAUGGCGUGUGGAACUACCAACGUGACUAUCUCCAGAAUAUGACCAUCUCACGUGUGUAUGUACAAUGCGUAUAUAUAAUGCCAACUAAGGACGUGUUUUUACCAUUCAGAAAGCGUGCUUGCGGCAAUAUAUAAGUGCAGAAGAAUCCCUGUGAAGCACAAGAUUGUGUCUUUCCCAAAGCGUUCAUUUGUAAAGUAGCAAAUAUACGUUCUAAGCGCUACAUGCAGCCGUAUCCAAUUAGGCUUUUUAUUGUAAUGUAUACAUAUAAAAAUAAAUUGUGUGCAUGUU
Molecule: RNA transcript, 940 nt
Organism: Rhipicephalus sanguineus (brown dog tick)
Lineage: Eukaryota; Metazoa; Arthropoda; Arachnida; Ixodida; Ixodidae
Gene name: mite group 2 allergen-like Ixo r 2
Exons: 5
Source: RefSeq, a predicted model, not a curated record